CUCCUAUAAAUAGGACUCAUUUUGAGAGUCCAAGGCAUAAAAACUCUCAGACAAAAUCAAUCCCUCUCUCUUCCUUAUCUUGUUAGGACAAAGUUCUUCUAUUAAGACAAAUCCACUGAUUUUAAGACAAGGCUUAGGAAGAGAGUAGGAGGUGAUUUAGAGAGUAGAAAGAGUAAGGAAGAAAGGCUAAGGGUUCAUCUG
Molecule: long non-coding RNA, 201 nt
Filed under: Elaeis guineensis (African oil palm)
Lineage: Eukaryota; Viridiplantae; Streptophyta; Magnoliopsida; Arecales; Arecaceae
Description: long non-coding RNA (EGUI_LNC037420)
Source: RNAcentral